Molecule: ribosomal RNA, 632 nt
Filed under: Candidatus Nomurabacteria bacterium
Lineage: Bacteria; Candidatus Nomuraibacteriota
Description: partial 23S ribosomal RNA
Rfam family: Bacterial large subunit ribosomal RNA
Source: RNAcentral
AAAAAGGUACUCAAGGGCACAAAACGGAUGCCUUGACAUAUACUACCGAAGAAGGACGUGAAAGACUGCGAAAAGUCUCGGGGAGUCGUCAAUAGACUUUGAUCCGAGAAUAUCCGAAUGGGGAAACCCGCCGCGGGUCAUGCCGUGUGCAUCGUGCGCUGAAUACAUAGGCGUAUUGAAAGGUAACCAUCUGAACUGAAACAUCUUAGUAGGAUGAGGAAAAGAGAAUAAAUAAUGAUUCUGGGAGUAGUGGCGAGCGAAACUGGAACAGCCUAAACCUUUUAAGUUCUAUCGCAAGAUAGUAAGGGUGAUAGCCCAAUACUUAGAGGGAGUUGCGAGUCAACAUAAUUUUGGGAUUAAGGACUUCUACAUGGAGUUUUUAAUCUUAAAACCGACAACUAUCAUUGAGCGGAUAAGGUAAGAAAUCGGCGUGGUUAGCAGAAUAUUUUGGAAAGAAUAGCCAAAGACUGUGAUAGCCAGGUAUGCGAAAACGACGCUGACCUUAUAUAUGUUUUCACAAGUAAAACGGGGCACGAGAAACCCUGUUCGAAUCCGGCUGGACCACCAGCCAAGACUAAAUAUGGUAAAUGAUCGAUAGCGAACUAGUACAGUGAUGGAAAGGUGAAAAGAAC